RNAcentral lists this transfer RNA (73 nucleotides) under Stegodyphus mimosarum. It matches the Rfam family "tRNA". Rfam says of the family: Transfer RNA (tRNA) molecules are approximately 80 nucleotides in length. Their secondary structure includes four short double-helical elements and three loops (D, anti-codon, and T loops). Lineage: Eukaryota; Metazoa; Arthropoda; Arachnida; Araneae; Eresidae. The record is from Rfam by way of RNAcentral.
GCCUUCGUGGCGUAGUGGUCAGCACACUCGACGUGUAUUCGAGAGGUCCGUGGUUCGAGUCUCGGCGAGGGCA